RNAcentral lists this ribosomal RNA (349 nucleotides) under uncultured bacterium. Its description in RNAcentral is "bacterial SSU rRNA". It matches the Rfam family "Bacterial small subunit ribosomal RNA", at positions 8 to 350 of the family's 1533-position model. The record is from RNAcentral.
AGAGUUUGAUCCUGGCUCAGGAUGAACGCUAGCUACAGGCUUAACACAUGCAAGUCGAGGGGAAACGACAUCGAAAGCUUGCUUUUGAUGGGCGUCGACCGGCGCACGGGUGAGUAACGCGUAUCCAACCUGCCCACCACUUGGGGAUAACCUUGCGAAAGUAAGACUAAUACCCAAUGACGUCUCUAGAAGACAUCUGAAGGAGAUUAAAGAUUUAUCGGUGAUGGAUGGGGAUGCGUCUGAUUAGCUUGUUGGCGGGGUAACGCCACAAGGCGACGAUCAGUAGGGGUUCUGAAAGGAGGUCCCCCANAUUGGAACUGAGACACGGUCCAAACUCCUACGGGAGGCA